UACGAAGGUCCCAAGCGUUAUCCGGAUUUAUUGGGCGUAAAGAGCGUGUAGGCGGCCUGACAGGUCUGCUGUGAAAACUCGAGGCUCAACCUCGAGAUGUCGGCGGAAACCGUCUGGCUAGAGUCCGGAAGAGGAGAGUGGAAUUCCUGGUGUAGCGGUGAAAUGCGCAGAUAUCAGGAAGAACACCUAUGGCGAAGGCAGCUCUCUGGGACGGUACUGACGCUGAGACGCGAAAGCGUGGGGAGCGAACAGG
RNAcentral lists this ribosomal RNA (253 nucleotides) under uncultured bacterium. RNAcentral's name for it is "partial 16S ribosomal RNA". It matches the Rfam family "Bacterial small subunit ribosomal RNA", at positions 524 to 776 of the family's 1533-position model. The record is from RNAcentral.